This is a non-coding RNA of Triticum aestivum (bread wheat), 115 nucleotides long. The record is from Rfam. NCBI's taxonomy places the organism in Eukaryota, Viridiplantae, Streptophyta, Magnoliopsida, Poales, Poaceae.
CAUAUACUCCCUCCGUUCGGAAUUACUUGUCUCGGAAAUGAAUGCAUCUAGAACUAAAAUACAUCUAGAUACAUCCAUUUCUACGACAAGUAAUUCCGAACGGAGGGAGUAUAAC